This 460-nucleotide ribosomal RNA is filed under the name uncultured bacterium. Its description in RNAcentral is "partial 16S ribosomal RNA". It matches the Rfam family "Bacterial small subunit ribosomal RNA", at positions 338 to 795 of the family's 1533-position model. The record is from RNAcentral.
CCUACGGGAGGCAGCAGUGAGGAAUAUUGGUCAAUGGACGAGAGUCUGAACCAGCCAAGUAGCGUGAAGGAUGACUGCCCUAUGGGUUGUAAACUUCUUUUAUAUGGGAAUAAAAUGUUCCACGUGUGGGAUUUUGUAUGUACCAUAUGAAUAAGGAUCGGCUAACUCCGUGCCAGCAGCCGCGGUAAUACGGAGGAUCCGAGCGUUAUCCGGAUUUAUUGGGUUUAAAGGGAGCGUAGGUGGAUUGUUAAGUCAGUUGUGAAAGUUUGCGGCUCAACCGUAAAAUUGCAUUUGAAACUGGCAGUCUUGAGUACAGUAGAGGUGGGCGGAAUUCGUGGUGUAGCGGUGAAAUGCUUAGAUAUCACGAAGAACUCCGAUUGCGAAGGCAGUUCACUGGACUGCAACUGACACUGAGGCUCGAAAGUGUGGGUAUCAAACAGGAUUAGAUACCCGUGUAGUC